GACGAACGCUGGCGGCGUGCUUAACACAUGCAAGUCGAACGGAAAGGCCCUGCUUUUGUGGGGUGCUCGAGUGGCGAACGGGUGAAUAACACGUGAGUAACCUGCCCUUGACUUUGGGAUAACUUCAGGAAACUGGGGCUAAUACCGGAUAGGAGCUCCUGCUGCAUGGUGGGGGUUGGAAAGUUUCGGCGGUUGGGGAUGGACUCGCGGCUUAUCAGCUUGUUGGUGGGGUAGUGGCUUACCAAGGCUUUGACGGGUAGCCGGCCUGAGAGGGUGACCGGCCACAUUGGGACUGAGAUACGGCCAAGACUCCUACGGGAGGCAGCAGUGGGGAAUAUUGCACAAUGGGCGGAAGCCUGAUGCAGCAACGCCGCGUGCGGGAUGACGGCCUUCGGGUUGUAAACCGCUUUCGCCUGUGACGAAGCGUGAGUGACGGUAAUGGGUAAAGAAGCACCGGCUAACUACGUG
This 468-nucleotide ribosomal RNA is filed under the name uncultured bacterium. RNAcentral's name for it is "partial 16S ribosomal RNA". It matches the Rfam family "Bacterial small subunit ribosomal RNA", at positions 28 to 507 of the family's 1533-position model. The record is from RNAcentral.